Molecule: non-coding RNA, 24 nt
Filed under: Arabidopsis thaliana (thale cress)
Lineage: Eukaryota; Viridiplantae; Streptophyta; Magnoliopsida; Brassicales; Brassicaceae
Source: RNAcentral
CAAAGUAGAGUGCCAAAUGUCGCA